This 253-nucleotide ribosomal RNA is filed under the name uncultured bacterium. RNAcentral's name for it is "partial 16S ribosomal RNA". It matches the Rfam family "Bacterial small subunit ribosomal RNA", at positions 524 to 776 of the family's 1533-position model. The record is from RNAcentral.
UACGUAGGGUGCGAGCGUUAAUCGGAAUUACUGGGCGUAAAGCGUGCGCAGGCGGUUAUGUAAGACAGGUGUGGAAUCCCCGGGCUUAACCUGGGAACUGCAUUUGUGACUGCAUAGCUAGAGUACGGUAGAGGGGGAUGGAAUUCCGCGUGUAGCAGUGAAAUGCGUAGAUAUGCGGAGGAACACCGAUGGCGAAGGCAAUCCCCUGGACCUGUACUGACGCUCAUGCACGAAAGCGUGGGGAGCAAACAGG